GAUGAACGCUGGCGGCGUGCCUAAUACAUGCAAGUCGAGCGAACGGACGAGAAGCUUGCUUCUCUGAUGUUAGCGGCGGACGGGUGAGUAACACGUGGAUAACCUACCUAUAAGACUGGGAUAACUUCGGGAAACCGGAGCUAAUACCGGAUGAUAUUUUGAACCGCAUGGUGCAAAAGUGAAAGACGGUCUUGCUGUCACUUAUAGAUGGAUCCGCGCUGCAUUAGCUAGUUGGUAAGGUAACGGCUUACCAAGGCAACGAUGCAUAGCCGACCUGAGAGGGUGAUCGGCCACACUGGAACUGAGACACGGUCCAGACUCCUACGGGAGGCAGCAGUAGGGAAUCUUCCGCAAUGGGCGCAAGCCUGACGGAGCAACGCCGCGUGAGUGAUGAAGGUCUUCGGAUCGUAAAACUCUGUUAUUAGGGAAGAACAUAUGUGUAAGUAACUGUGCACAUCUUGACGGUACCUAAUCAGAAAGCCACGGCUAACUACGUG
This 497-nucleotide ribosomal RNA is filed under the name uncultured bacterium. RNAcentral describes it as "partial 16S ribosomal RNA". It matches the Rfam family "Bacterial small subunit ribosomal RNA", at positions 28 to 507 of the family's 1533-position model. The record is from RNAcentral.